Molecule: unclassified non-coding RNA, 253 nt
Filed under: uncultured bacterium
Lineage: Bacteria
Description: contains 16S-23S intergenic spacer region
Rfam family: Bacterial small subunit ribosomal RNA
Source: RNAcentral
UACAGAGACCUCGAGCGUUAUCCGGAUUUAUUGGGUGUAAAGGGUCCGCAGGCGGCCCUGCGCGUCGCAUGUCAAAUCUUCGAGCUCAACUCGGAGGCUGCGUGCGAUACGGCAGGGCUAGAGGCUGGGAGAGGUGCACGGAAUUACCGGUGUAGCGGUAAAAUGCGUUAAUAUCGGUAAGAACACCAAAGGCGAAGGCAGUGCACUGGAACAGUUCUGACGCUCAGGGACGAAAGCGUGGGUAGCGAAAGGG